RNAcentral lists this ribosomal RNA (425 nucleotides) under uncultured bacterium. RNAcentral describes it as "partial 16S ribosomal RNA". It matches the Rfam family "Bacterial small subunit ribosomal RNA", at positions 354 to 796 of the family's 1533-position model. The record is from RNAcentral.
GUGGGGAAUCUUGCGCAAUGGGCGAAAGCCUGACGCAGCCAUGCCGCGUGAAUGAUGAAGGUCUUAGGAUUGUAAAAUUCUUUCACCGGGGACGAUAAUGACGGUACCCGGAGAAGGAGCCCCGGCUAACUUCGUGCCAGCAGCCGCGGUAAUACGAAGGGGGCUAGCGUUGCUCGGAAUUACUGGGCGUAAAGGGCGCGUAGGCGGACAGUUUAGUCAGAGGUGAAAGUCCAGGGCUCAACCUUGGAAUUGCCUUUGAUACUGGCUGUCUUGAGUACGGGAGAGGUGAGUGGAACUCCGAGUGUAGAGGUGAAAUUCGUAGAUAUUCGGAAGAACACCAGUGGCGAAGGCGACUCACUGGCCCGUUACUGACGCUGAGGCGCGAAAGCGUGGGGAGCAAACAGGAUUAGAUACCCGGGUAGUCC